RNAcentral lists this ribosomal RNA (445 nucleotides) under uncultured bacterium. RNAcentral's name for it is "partial 16S ribosomal RNA". It matches the Rfam family "Bacterial small subunit ribosomal RNA", at positions 354 to 796 of the family's 1533-position model. The record is from RNAcentral.
GUGAGGAAUAUUGGUCAAUGGACGAGAGUCUGAACCAGCCAAGUCGGGUGAAGGAAGACGGUUCUAUGAAUUGUAAACUUCUUUUGUGCAGGAAUAAAGUGGGUUACGUGUAACCUUUUGUAUGUACUGUACGAAUAAGGAUCGGCUAACUCCGUGCCAGCAGCCGCGGUAAUACGGAGGAUCCGAGCGUUAUCCGGAUUUAUUGGGUUUAAAGGGUGCGUAGGUGGAUUGAUAAGUCAGCGGUGAAAGUUUGCAGCUUAACUGUAAAAUUGCCGUUGAAACUGUCGGUCUUGAGUGCAAAUGAGGUAGGCGGAAUGUGUUGUGUAGCGGUGAAAUGCUUAGAUAUAACACAGAACUCCGAUUGCGAAGGCAGCUUACUGGGAUGCAACUGACACUGAUGCACGAAAGCGUGGGUAUCAAACAGGAUUAGAUACCCCGGUAGUCC